Molecule: ribosomal RNA, 470 nt
Filed under: Diplosphaera sp. SAG 49.86
Lineage: Eukaryota; Viridiplantae; Chlorophyta; Trebouxiophyceae; Prasiolales; Stichococcaceae
Description: eukaryotic LSU rRNA
Rfam family: Eukaryotic large subunit ribosomal RNA
Source: RNAcentral
UUUUAACACCCAUGAGACGCAAGUAACCUGACUGGUGGGAGGGCCUGUGCCCGCACCAUCGACCGACCAUGAUCUUCUGUGAAAGGUUUGAGUACGAGCAUACCUGUUGGGACCCGAAAGAUGGUGAACUAUGCCUGAGCAGGGCGAAGCCAGAGGAAACUCUGGUGGAGGCUCGUAGAUGUGCUGACGUGCAAAUCGCUUUUCGGACUUGGGUAUAGGGGCGAAAGACUAAUCGAACCAUCUAGUAGCUGGUUCCCUCCGAAGUUUCCCCCAGGAUAGCUGGAGCUCGGUCAGUUUUAUCGGGUAAAGCGAAUGAUUAGAGGUACCGGGGAUGAAACAUCCUCGACCUAUUCUCAAACUUUAAAUAGGUAAGACGUCUGGGUUGCUUAAUUGAACCCAGGCACUCAAUGAGAGCUCCAAGUGGGCCAUUUUUGGUAAGCAGAACUGGCGAUGCGGGAUGAACCGAAAGC